This 206-nucleotide ribosomal RNA is filed under the name uncultured bacterium. RNAcentral's name for it is "partial 16S ribosomal RNA". It matches the Rfam family "Bacterial small subunit ribosomal RNA", at positions 568 to 774 of the family's 1533-position model. The record is from RNAcentral.
UGCGUAGGUGGCAGAACAAGUCUGGAGUAAAAGGUAUGGGCUCAACCCGUACUGGCUCUGGAAACUGUUCAGCUAGAGAACAGAAGGGGACGGCGGAACUCCAUGUGUAGCGGUAAAAUGCGUAGAUAUAUGGAAGAACACCGGUGGCGAAGGCGGCCGUCUGGUCUGUUGCUGACACUGAAGCACGAAAGCGUGGGGAGCAAAUA